RNAcentral lists this ribosomal RNA (476 nucleotides) under uncultured bacterium. Its description in RNAcentral is "bacterial SSU rRNA". It matches the Rfam family "Bacterial small subunit ribosomal RNA", at positions 29 to 506 of the family's 1533-position model. The record is from RNAcentral.
AUGAACGCUAGCGGCAGGCUUAACACAUGCAAGUCGAGGGGUAUUGGUUUUCGGACCAAGAGACCGGCGCACGGGUGCGUAACGCGUAUGCAAUCUACCUUUCACAGAGGGAUAGCCCAGAGAAAUUUGGAUUAAUACCUCAUAGUAUGCAGAGUUGGCAUCAACACUGCAUUAAAGUCACAACGGUGAAAGAUGAGCAUGCGUCCCAUUAGCUAGUUGGUAAGGUAACGGCUUACCAAGGCUACGAUGGGUAGGGGUCCUGAGAGGGAGAUCCCCUACACUGGUACUGAGACACGGACCAGACUCCUACGGGAGGCAGCAGUGAGGAAUAUUGGACAAUGGGCGCAAGCCUGAUCCAGCCAUGCCGCGUGCAGGAUGACGGUCCUAUGGAUUGUAAACUGCUUUUGCACAGGAAGAAACAACUCUACGUGUAGAGUCUUGACGGUACUGUGAGAAUAAGGAUCGGCUAACUCCGU